GUCCUGGACCAUUUGGGUGGGAGGGCUGCCCGGGCGCAGGCUCAGGGCAGGGUCCACGAGAGCCUGGGGGCGGCCAGGGCUUGGGCAGCCGUGGAGACUUGUCUGUGCAAAUGCCCUGCCGAGGGGCGAGCGGGAAGGCGUCCUGGGCAGGGCUGGAGGGUGGAAGCUGGGGAAAUGAGCUAAAGGUGUGGUGGAGACGGAGGCACGAGUGGGAGCAGGAGAGGGCACGGGGCUGCACGGGGCCAGGAGGCCCAGGGCAGAGCAGGACAGAGCGCGAGCGGACGGCCUACGUUCCCCACACUGGUGCCGGCACAGCCUCCCAGGCAGGUCUCAGACCCUGUGUGCAGCUCUCCGUCUUCUUCAGUGAUGUCCAGUCUGGGCAGCUCCUCCUUCUCAAGCCUUCCCAGCAAGUGCACACGCAUUCUCACCACCCCCGUGACACAGAGGAGGGGAGAACGCCGUCGCCCUCUACCAGAUGGAGAGAGCCCUGCUCGAGGUGGUGAACGGCUCAGACCGAGGCGGGUGCAUCCAGCCCAGAGGCCCCCCACUGGUGAGGACCGGGGAGCGUCAGGCCGCCCCCACGGUGCCCACACUUGCACCGAAGCGUCUUUGCUGAGUCGGAAGGCACCUCAGGCCUCCCCAGCCCUGGAGCUGCCCUCCAGAGCCCGUCCCCAGGGAGCAGGGACGUGGGGGGAUCCGCCUUCCUGGGACGGCCCCAAGCCCAGCCGCUGCCGCGUGUUGGGAAGUUCCAGAAGCAUCCGUCCUGCUUGGAUCCUCCAGGAUUCAUUCUCCCUUGUGGCGUCUGACUCCCCCUCAUGUGGCCCAUCUCCUCUUCUAGCCUCGAAGCCCCUGUCAGGGACGUCCCCAGGCUCACUCCCUUGGGUAUUAACCCUGUGUCUUUGCCGUGUUUGGCGACUGCUGGGCUCAGCUGUGUGUGUCCCGGAGGGCACAGCACGUCUGCCUCACACUCACAACCGCCUGAGUCUGACCCGCAGCCUGGACCCCAGCGGGCCUGCGAGGCUGGGGGCCACCCCGCCCCAGAGCCCACACCAGAGGCGGGUCAGGCCUGGGGCAGGCAGCUCUUCCAGAGUCCCUCCCGCCACGGCCAUCCCUUGACCUCUGGUUGGGCAGCGUGCUUGCCCUGGACGUCACGUCAUCCAAGGUGAGCGCACCUGGAGGGGUGGGUGUGGGGCAGGGAACCAUACUGCCCAUCACAGGCCACAAGUGCUGGCCGAGCCGGGAGGCGAGAGGGCAACUGAGGUAAAACCCACCAGGACCCCCAGCCCACAGGGAGCGCUCCCACCGGCCUCCCGCCUGCUCCUGGCUGUGGUGGGCACAGGCCACCUGCUACCAAGCUCAGGGGCAUGGUCAC
Molecule: long non-coding RNA, 1372 nt
Filed under: Equus caballus (horse)
Lineage: Eukaryota; Metazoa; Chordata; Mammalia; Perissodactyla; Equidae
Description: lncRNA (ENSECAG00000029616.2)
Source: RNAcentral